Long non-coding RNA from Daphnia carinata, 455 nucleotides. RefSeq lists it as uncharacterized. The transcript is spliced from 4 exons. Lineage: Eukaryota; Metazoa; Arthropoda; Branchiopoda; Diplostraca; Daphniidae. The record is from RefSeq and is a predicted model, not a curated record.
AAUAAAUACCUGGUGCAAAAUUGGGAACGACCGUUACCGAUACUGCUGAAAGGGCUUUCCUCGCCAAGAGUCCCAUGAGCUGUAAUCAUCUACAAUCGUAACAAGCAAUCCAUUUACCACAAGAGGUUUCUUGGAGAGGUAGCAAUUAACGAGGGUUUUAAAGAUUACCACCAUAAAUCAGCAGUCAUAUGAACUACAGCUGCUCCAGCAAACUUGUUUUUCCAGUCAAUGUUCCUCCAUUUUCAUCUUAAUGUUGAUUUUGGAUCACCUCACAGGAAGAAUUCUUCAGUAAUGCAGUCUCCUUCCACCCAAUGAAUAAAUCUGUCAGUUUUACAAUUUUAAGCAGUAAAGGAUGACCAGAAGAAAUACUAGUAUCUGGGUCAUGAAGCGACCAAUCCUCAUUGUGUUUGAGCUGUGAUUGAAUCGGCAUAGCCUAAAUGCAAUACCUUCUCCUG